UAGAGUUUGAUCCUGGCUCAGAUUGAACGCUGGCGGCAGGCCUAACACAUGCAAGUCGAGCGGUAACAGAUUGAUAGCUUGCUAUCAAUGCUGACGAGCGGCGGACGGGUGAGUAAUGCCUGGGAAUAUACCCUGAUGUGUGGGAUAACUAUUGGAAACGAUAGCUAAUACCGCAUAAUCUCUUGUCUUUUACGAGAUGGGAGCAAAGAGGGGGACCUUCGGGCCUCUCGCGUCAGGAUUAGCCCAGGUGGGAUUAGCUAGUUGGUGGGGUAAUGGCUCACCAAGGCGACGAUCUCUAGCUGGUCUGAGAGGAUGAUCAGCCACACUGGAACUGAGACACGGUCCAGACUCCUACGGGAGGCAGCAGUGGGGAAUAUUGCACAAUGGGCGAAAGCCUGAUGCAGCCAUGCCGCGUGUAUGAAGAAGGCCUUCGGGUUGUAAAGUACUUUCAGUCGUGAGGAAGGGUGUGUAGUUAAUAGCUGCACAUCUUGACGUUAGCGACAGAAGAAGCACCGGCUAACUCCGUGCCAGCAGCCGCGGUAAUACGGAGGGUGCGAGCGUUAAUCGGAAUUACUGGGCGUAAAGCGCAUGCAGGUGGUUCAUUAAGUCAGAUGUGAAAGCCCGGGGCUCAACCUCGGAACCGCAUUUGAAACUGGUGAACUAGAGUGCUGUAGAGGGGGGUAGAAUUUCA
RNAcentral lists this ribosomal RNA (691 nucleotides) under uncultured Vibrionaceae bacterium. RNAcentral describes it as "bacterial SSU rRNA". It matches the Rfam family "Bacterial small subunit ribosomal RNA", at positions 1 to 671 of the family's 1533-position model. Lineage: Bacteria; Pseudomonadati; Pseudomonadota; Gammaproteobacteria; Vibrionales; Vibrionaceae. The record is from RNAcentral.